This 447-nucleotide ribosomal RNA is filed under the name uncultured bacterium. Its description in RNAcentral is "SSU rRNA". It matches the Rfam family "Bacterial small subunit ribosomal RNA", at positions 26 to 518 of the family's 1533-position model. The record is from RNAcentral.
AGAGCGAACGCUGGCGGCAGGCCUAAUACAUGCAAGUCGAACGGAUCCUUCGGGAUUAGUGGCGGACGGGUGAGUAACACGUGGGAACGUGCCCUUUGGUUCGGAACAACUCAGGGAAACUUGAGCUAAUACCGAAUGUGCCCUUCGGGGGAAAGAUUUAUCGCCAUUGGAGCGGCCCGCGUCUGAUUAGCUAGUUGGUGGGGUAAAGGCCCACCAAGGCGACGAUCAGUAGCUGGUCUGAGAGGAUGAUCAGCCACACUGGGACUGAGACACGGCCCAGACUCCUACGGGAGGCAGCAGUAGGGAAUCUUGCGCAAUGGGCGAAAGCCUGACGCAGCCAUGCCGCGUGAAUGAUGAAGGUCUUAGGAUUGUAAAAUUCUUUCGAGCGGGACGAUAAUGACGGUACCCGCAGAAGAACGCCCCGGCUAACUUCGCGCCAGCAGCCGC